GACGAACGCUGGCGGCGUGCUUAACACAUGCAAGUCGAACGAAGAGCGAUGGAAGCUUGCUUCUAUCAAUCUUAGUGGCGAACGGGUGAGUAACGCGUAAUCAACCUUCCCUUCAGAGGGGGACAACAGUUGGAAACGACUGCUAAUACCGCAUACGAUCUAAUCUCGGCAUCGAGGAUAGAUGUAAGGUGGCCUAUACAUGUAAGCUAUCACUGCAGGAGGGGAUUGUGUCUGAUUAGCUAGGUGGGGGGGUAACGGACCACAAAGGCGAUGAUCAGUAGCCGGUCUGAGAGGAGGAACGGCCACCUUGGGACGGAGACCCGGCCCAGACGCCUACGGGAGGCAGCAGGGGGGAAGCUUCCGCAAGGGACGAAAGUCUGACGGAGCAACGCCGCGUGAGCGAUGACGGCCUUCGGGUUGUAAAGCUCUGUUAAUCGGGACGAAAGGCCUUCUUGCGAAUAGUGAGAAGGACUGACGGUACCGGAAGAGAAAGCCACGGCUAACUACGUG
RNAcentral lists this ribosomal RNA (510 nucleotides) under uncultured bacterium. RNAcentral describes it as "partial 16S ribosomal RNA". It matches the Rfam family "Bacterial small subunit ribosomal RNA", at positions 28 to 507 of the family's 1533-position model. The record is from RNAcentral.